CCUACGGGUGGCAGCAGUGGGGAAUAUUGCGCAAUGGGCGAAAGCCUGACGCAGCGACGCCGCGUGAGGGAUGAAGGUCUUCUGAUCGUAAACCUCUGUCAGCAGGGAAGUACGGUCACUGUGCUAAUCAGCAGUGAAUUGACGGUACCUGCAAAGGAAGCACCGGCUAACUCCGUGCCAGCCGCCGCGGUAAUACGGAGGGUGCGAGCGUUAAUCGGAAUUACUGGGCGUAAAGCGCUCGUAGGCGGUAUGUCAAGUCAAGGGUGAAAUCCCCGCGCUCAACGUGGGAACUGCCUUUGAAACUGGCAAACUGGAGUGUGUGAGAGGAUAGUGGAAUUCCAGGUGUAGGAGUGAAAUCCGUAGAUAUCUGGAGGAACAUCAGUGGCGAAGGCGACUAUCUGGCACAUAACUGACGCUGAGGAGCGAAAGCGUGGGUAGCAAACAGGAUUAGAUACCCCAGUAGUC
Molecule: ribosomal RNA, 465 nt
Filed under: uncultured bacterium
Lineage: Bacteria
Description: partial 16S ribosomal RNA
Rfam family: Bacterial small subunit ribosomal RNA
Source: RNAcentral